Molecule: ribosomal RNA, 824 nt
Filed under: Arachnodes sp. 1 HKW-2010
Lineage: Eukaryota; Metazoa; Arthropoda; Insecta; Coleoptera; Scarabaeidae
Also listed under: 1 other name
Description: SSU rRNA
Rfam family: Eukaryotic small subunit ribosomal RNA
Source: RNAcentral
CGAAAAAUAACGAUACGGGACUCAUCCGAGGCCCCGUAAUCGGAAUGAGUACACUCUAAACCCUUUAACGAGGAUCAAUUGGAGGGCAAGUCUGGUGCCAGCAGCUGCGGUAAUUCCAGCUCCAAUAGCGUAUAUUAAAGUUGUUGCGGUUAAAAAGCUCGUAGUCGAAUUUGUGUCCCGCGCCGCCGGUUCAUCGCUCGCGGUGUCAACUGGCGUGUCCGCGGGACGUCCUGCCGGUGGGCUUAGCCCCUGUGGGCGGCCCAAUCUCAAUCCCACCGCGGUGCUCUUCACUGAGUGUCGAGGUGGGCCGGCACGUUUACUUUGAACAAAUUAGAGUGCUUAAAGCAGGCUAAAACAUCGCCUGAAUACUGUGUGCAUGGAAUAAUGGAAUAGGACCUCGGUUCUAUUUUGUUGGUUUUCGGAACCCCGAGGUAAUGAUUAAUAGGAACGGAUGGGGGCAUUCGUAUUGCGACGUUAGAGGUGAAAUUCUUGGAUCGUCGCAAGACGGACAGAAGCGAAAGCAUUUGCCAAAAACGCUUUCAUUGAUCAAGAACGAAAGUUAGAGGUUCGAAGGCGAUCAGAUACCGCCCUAGUUCUAACCAUAAACGAUGCCAGCUAGCGAUCCGCCGACGUUCCUCCGAUGACUCGGCGGGCAGCUUCCGGGAAACCAAAGCUUUUGGGUUCCGGGGGAAGUAUGGUUGCAAAGCUGAAACUUAAAGGAAUUGACGGAAGGGCACCACCAGGAGUGGAGCCUGCGGCUUAAUUUGACUCAACACGGGAAACCUCACCAGGCCCGGACACCGGAAGGAUUGACAGAUUGAGAG